CCUACGGGAGGCUGCAGUGGGGAAUAUUGGACAAUGGGGGGAACCCUGAUCCAGCCAUGCCGCGUGUGUGAAGAAGGCCCUCGGGUUGUAAAGCACUUUCAGUGAGGAAGAACGCCUGGUGGUUAAUACCCAUCAGGAAAGACAUCACUCACAGAAGAAGCACCGGCUAACUCCGUGCCAGCAGCCGCGGUAAUACGGAGGGUGCGAGCGUUAAUCGGAAUUACUGGGCGUAAAGCGCGCGUAGGUGGCUUGAUAAGCCGGUUGUGAAAGCCCCGGGCUCAACCUGGGAACGGCAUCCGGAACUGUCAAGCUAGAGUGCAGGAGAGGAAGGUAGAAUUCCCGGUGUAGAGGUGAAAUGCGUAGAGAUCGGGAGGAAGACCAGUGGCGAAGGCGGCCUUCUGGACUGACACUGACGCUGAGGUGCGAAAGCGUGGGUAGCAAACAGGAUUAGAUACCCUAGUAGUC
Molecule: ribosomal RNA, 465 nt
Filed under: Vreelandella stevensii
Lineage: Bacteria; Pseudomonadati; Pseudomonadota; Gammaproteobacteria; Oceanospirillales; Halomonadaceae
Description: partial 16S ribosomal RNA
Rfam family: Bacterial small subunit ribosomal RNA
Source: RNAcentral